Small nucleolar RNA from Betta splendens (Siamese fighting fish), 128 nucleotides. Ensembl annotates it as small nucleolar RNA SNORA55. Lineage: Eukaryota; Metazoa; Chordata; Actinopteri; Anabantiformes; Osphronemidae. The record is from Ensembl.
GCACCUCAGCAACCCUGUCAAUUCUGUUCAGUGUUUGAUUUGGGUAACGCAUGGUGCCAAAGAGACUCAAAAUAAAUCCAGAUGGCUCUCGUCUUUGUGGAGGCUGUCUCUACAGUUUUGAUACACAA